CGGAUGGAACACCUGUUUCUGAGGCAGAAUCAGCAAGACUUGGGAAUCGAUGGACUGGAGGGCUCUGGAGACGGAGAGUUCGCGUUGACGUUCAUGUUUUAUCCAGGACAGACAAAGGACAGUUUUCAGGCGUGGCCAGUAAGAGACUGUAAAACAGGACGAAGGAUCUGAAAAGGUGUUCACAGAGCAGAACUCCCAGCGUGCAAGCAACAGUCACAGAGAUCUCGUCCCACCUGUGACCCACAAACCAGAUGCCGAGCCAAACCGAGACGCAGUUUCCACCGCAUCAGAUGAGGGCCUGGCACCCGGAAAAGCUCCAUCAGUAUUUACCAGACAGACGACCUGAUGGACCCUG
Molecule: long non-coding RNA, 355 nt
Organism: Neomonachus schauinslandi (Hawaiian monk seal)
Lineage: Eukaryota; Metazoa; Chordata; Mammalia; Carnivora; Phocidae
Exons: 3
Source: RefSeq, a predicted model, not a curated record